RNAcentral lists this ribosomal RNA (454 nucleotides) under Fusarium sp. UASWS0877. RNAcentral's name for it is "eukaryotic LSU rRNA". The stretch from base 76 to 229 matches the Rfam family "5.8S ribosomal RNA". Lineage: Eukaryota; Fungi; Ascomycota; Sordariomycetes; Hypocreales; Nectriaceae. The record is from RNAcentral.
GGGACGGCCCGCAAGAGGACCCAAACUCUAAUGUUUCUUAUUGUAACUUCUGAGUAAAACAAACAAAUAAAUCAAAACUUUCAACAACGGAUCUCUUGGUUCUGGCAUCGAUGAAGAACGCAGCAAAAUGCGAUAAGUAAUGUGAAUUGCAGAAUUCAGUGAAUCAUCGAAUCUUUGAACGCACAUUGCGCCCGCUGGUAUUCCGGCGGGCAUGCCUGUUCGAGCGUCAUUUCAACCCUCAAGCCCCCGGGUUUGGUGUUGGGGAUCGGCUCUGCCCUUCUGGGCGGUGCCGCCCCCGAAAUACAUUGGCGGUCUCGCUGCAGCCUCCAUUGCGUAGUAGCUAACACCUCGCAACUGGAACGCGGCGCGGCCAUGCCGUAAAACCCCAACUUCUGAAUGUUGACCUCGGAUCAGGUAGGAAUACCCGCUGAACUUAAGCAUAUCAAUAAGCGGA